GCAAACUUGGUCAUUUAGAGGAAGUAAAAGUCGUAACAAGGUUUCCGUAGGUGAACCUGCGGAAGGAUCAUUAGUGUAAACAGAUUAUAAACACCGGGGUUCGGGUAUGAUGAGGGUCAUUGACUCUGUCAUUCCUUGACCUUGUGUUUGCAAACAAAAACACCCUUAAAAACAGCUUUAUAGUGUCUGAAUCUGACUAGUUUAAUAUAAAAACAACUUUCAACAACGGAUCUCUUGGCUCUUGCAUCGAUGAAGAACGCAGC
Molecule: unclassified non-coding RNA, 263 nt
Filed under: uncultured fungus
Lineage: Eukaryota; Fungi
Description: partial contains small subunit ribosomal RNA, internal transcribed spacer 1, and 5.8S ribosomal RNA
Rfam family: Eukaryotic small subunit ribosomal RNA (bases 1-73)
Source: RNAcentral